GUUCCCUUUGACAGUACAUAUAAUAAAGUUGGAAUGAUACUGAGAUUAACAUGACCCUGUUCAAGGAUGACACCCACAUUUGUGCAGCAUCCCAUAUAUGU
Molecule: small nuclear RNA, 101 nt
Filed under: Peromyscus maniculatus bairdii (prairie deer mouse)
Lineage: Eukaryota; Metazoa; Chordata; Mammalia; Rodentia; Cricetidae
Source: RNAcentral